GCCAGGCAUGGUGGCGCAUGCCUGUGGUCCCAGCUACUUGGGAGGCUGAGGCAGGAGGAUCACUUGAGCCCAGGAGUUUGAGGCUGCAGUGACCUGUGAUUGUGCCACUGCACUCCGGCCUGGGCCACAGAGCAAGACCUUGUCUUUG
This 148-nucleotide non-coding RNA is filed under the name Homo sapiens (human). Lineage: Eukaryota; Metazoa; Chordata; Mammalia; Primates; Hominidae. The record is from Rfam by way of RNAcentral.